CCCUAUUAUAAUUAUGAAGAGUUUUUAAGGUAGUAGUUAUUAAAUUAAUUAAACUUAAAGAAUUUGGCGGUGGUUAUUCAAAUUAGAGGAAUAUGUUUUAUAAAUGAUAUUCCACAAAUAUCUUACUUUAUUUUUAUUUUUGUAUAUCUCCGUCUAAAAAAGUUUUUUAGAAAUAUAUUUUAGAUAACUAAAAGGAUUGAAGUCAGGUCAAGGUGCAGAUUAUAUUAAAGUGAAAAUGUAUUACAAUAAAAUUAUUUAUGGAUUUAUUUUGGAAAAAAUAUUUAAAUUGGAUUUAAUAGUAAAAAGAUUUAUAUAAAAAUUAAUUGAAUUUUGUAAAUGAACAUGCACACAUCGCCC
Molecule: ribosomal RNA, 357 nt
Filed under: Caecilius sp. KY389
Lineage: Eukaryota; Metazoa; Arthropoda; Insecta; Psocodea; Caeciliusidae
Description: partial 12S rRNA
Source: RNAcentral